UAUGUGAUCGUCUCUCGCAUAUCAAUAAGCGGAGGAAAAGAAACUAACAAGGAUUCCCCUAGUAACGGCGAGUGAAGCGGGAAGAGCUCAAAUUCGAAAUCUUAAAGGGUUUCCCUUUACGAAUUGUAGUUUAAAGAAGUGUUUUCUGUUGAGGUUUUGGUAAAAGUUCUUUGGAAUAGGACAUCAUAGAGGGUGAGAAUCCCGUAUUUGACCUUUACUUUCAACUUUGUGAUACACUUUCAAAGAGUCGGAUUGUUUGGGAAUGCAGUCCAAAAUGGGUGGUAAAUUUCAUCUAAAGCUAAAUAUUGGCGAGAGACCGAUAGCGAACAAGUACCGUGAGGGAAAGAUGAAAAGAACUUUGAAAAGAGAGUUAAACAGUACGUGAAAUUGUCAAAAGGGAAGCGUUUGACACCAGUGUUGUUUUUCUGAAAAUCAAUUAAAGAACUGUUUAUGCUAAGUUGUUUAGACUUUAUCAGCUAACUGUUUAGUUUUGAGCUUUUCUUUAAUGCACUUUUCAGUUAACAAGUCAACAUCAAUUUCUUUUGCUGUAAAAAAGCUUGAGGAGGUGGCUUGAGAUUCGUCUUAAGUGUUUAUAGCCUCUUGCCUAUGCAGUCGGAGAGAUUGAGGUCUGCAGCGUAGAUCCUUCGGGGCUAAAUGCAUUUGUGCUAAGUUAUAGCAUUUUAUAGACAACUUGUUGACUAUGAUUUGUCUUGUAGCUUACUCGCUUAUGUUAUUUUACCUACGCUUAGGAUGUUGAAGACUCUACAGAGAUA
RNAcentral lists this ribosomal RNA (773 nucleotides) under uncultured Neocallimastigales. RNAcentral describes it as "partial large subunit ribosomal RNA". It matches the Rfam family "Eukaryotic large subunit ribosomal RNA", at positions 24 to 633 of the family's 3401-position model. The record is from RNAcentral. Lineage: Eukaryota; Fungi; Neocallimastigomycota; Neocallimastigomycetes; Neocallimastigales.